GCAGUCGAACGAACUCUGGUAUUGAUUGGUGCUUGCAUCAUGAUUUACAUUUGAGUGAGUGGCGAACUGGUGAGUAACACGUGGGAAACCUGCCCAGAAGCGGGGGAUAACACCUGGAAACAGAUGCUAAUACCGCAUAACAACUUGGACCGCAUGGUCCGAGUUUGAAAGAUGGCUUCGGCUAUCACUUUUGGAUGGUCCCGCGGCGUAUUAGCUAGAUGGUGAGGUAACGGCUCACCAUGGCAAUGAUACGUAGCCGACCUGAGAGGGUAAUCGGCCACAUUGGGACUGAGACACGGCCCAAACUCCUACGGGAGGCAGCAGUAGGGAAUCUUCCACAAUGGACGAAAGUCUGAUGGAGCAACGCCGCGUGAGUGAAGAAGGGUUUCGGCUCGUAAAACUCUGUUGUUGAAGAAGAACAUAUCUGAGAGUAACUGUUCAGGUAUUGACGGUAUUUAACCAGAAAGCCACGGCUAACUACGUGCCAGCAGCCGCGGUAAUACGUAGGUGGCAAGCGUUGUCCGGAUUUAUUGGGCGUAAAGCGAGCGCAGGCGGUUUUUUAAGUCUGAUGUGAAAGCCUUCGGCUCAACCGAAGAAGUGCAUCGGAAACUGGGAAACUUGAGUGCAGAAGAGGACAGUGGAACUCCAUGUGUAGCGGUGAAAUGCGUAGAUAUAUGGAAGAACACCAGUGGCGAAGGCGGCUGUCUGGUCUGUAACUGACGCUGAGGCUCGAAAGUAUGGGUAGCAAACAGGAUUAGAUACCCUGGUAGUCCAUACCGUAAACGAUGAAUGCUAAGUGUUGGAGGGUUUCCGCCCUUCAGUGCUGCAGCUAACGCAUUAAGCAUUCCGCCUGGGGAGUACGGCCGCAAGGCUGAAACUCAAAGGAAUUGACGGGGGCCCGCACAAGCGGUGGAGCAUGUGGUUUAAUUCGAAGCUACGCGAAGAACCUUACCAGGUCUUGACAUACUAUGCAAAUCUAAGAGAUUAGACGUUCCCUUCGGGGACAUGGAUACAGGUGGUGCAUGGUUGUCGUCAGCUCGUGUCGUGAGAUGUUGGGUUAAGUCCCGCAACGAGCGCAACCCUUAUUAUCAGUUGCCAGCAUUAAGUUGGGCACUCUGGUGAGACUGCCGGUGACAAACCGGAGGAAGGUGGGGAUGACGUCAAAUCAUCAUGCCCCUUAUGACCUGGGCUACACACGUGCUACAAUGGAUGGUACAACGAGUUGCGAACUCGCGAGAGUAAGCUAAUCUCUUAAAGCCAUUCUCAGUUCGGAUUGUAGGCUGCAACUCGCCUACAUGAAGUCGGAAUCGCUAGUAAUCGCGGAUCAGCAUGCCGCGGUGAAUACGUUCCCGGGCCUUGUACACACCGCCCGUCACACCAUGAGAGUUUGUAACACCCAAAGUCGGUGGGGUAACCUUUUAGG
Molecule: ribosomal RNA, 1423 nt
Filed under: Enterococcus faecium
Lineage: Bacteria; Bacillati; Bacillota; Bacilli; Lactobacillales; Enterococcaceae
Description: bacterial SSU rRNA
Rfam family: Bacterial small subunit ribosomal RNA
Source: RNAcentral